Molecule: ribosomal RNA, 254 nt
Filed under: uncultured bacterium
Lineage: Bacteria
Description: partial small subunit ribosomal RNA
Rfam family: Bacterial small subunit ribosomal RNA
Source: RNAcentral
AGGACGAACGCUGGCGGCGUGCUUAACACAUGCAAGUCGAGCGGAAAGGCCCUUCGGGGUACUCGAGCGGCGAACGGGUGAGUAACACGUGAGUAAUCUGCCCCUAGCUCUGGGAUAGCUCCGGGAAACCGGGAUUAAUACCAGAUACGACCACUUUAGACAUCUGCUGUGGUGGAAAGAAUUUCGGCUAGGGAUGAGCUCGCGGCCUAUCAGCUUGUUAGUGAGGUAACGGCUCACCAAGGCGACGACGGGUA